CAUAUGAUGGUUUCAUUUCACUGCACUGACGCCAGUUGAUGACACUCUUCCCUCUGAUUUAGC
Molecule: small nucleolar RNA, 63 nt
Filed under: Euglena gracilis
Lineage: Eukaryota; Euglenozoa; Euglenophyceae; Euglenales; Euglenaceae
Description: Eg-m143.1 box C/D methylation-guide
Source: RNAcentral